GUGCUCACUUCAGCAACACAUAUACCAAAAUUGAAAUGAUACAGAGAUUAGUGCAGCCCCUGCGCAAGGAUGACACACAAAUUCGCGAAGCGCUUCAUAUUAAA
Myotis lucifugus (little brown bat) is the source of this 104-nucleotide small nuclear RNA. The record is from Ensembl. NCBI's taxonomy places the organism in Eukaryota, Metazoa, Chordata, Mammalia, Chiroptera, Vespertilionidae.